GUCCCAAACCAUCAAAUACUGCUCGUGCCCCACCUCUGUCACCUGGUGCCUUGCAGACAAGUUCUGUUGAAACCCCACUGAAAAGCAAGUUAUAAAUUCCUAGCUGAUGCUGCUAAUUGUCACGUGGCAUUUACAGUACUGGAUGUAAAUCAUUCAUAAUCCAAUAUCAAACCGAAAAGAGUAAAUGAGUUUGCCUCUGUGGUUAAAAAGAAUAAAGUAUUGAUUACCAUAACAAAUUAACAACUUGAAACCUGAUCUAUAUCUUCUGAGUGCUGAGAGCUUUGAACUGGAACAGUCAUGUAUUACACAUUAACCUCACAAUAUUUAAAAGCAGUUGCGCUACAACAAAAGCUAGUUAUUAGAAGAGCUCUGUAAAAAUGAUUUUAAUGGCAUUUAUGGCAGGGCUAGAGCAAUUACCAACCUGCAAUCAAACUACUAGCUUUUCAUUAAUUAAGAUAGUUGAGCAAGACCCUGUUCUCACAGAUCUGUUGUGAGAAACGAUGAUGGCAGGCACAUGGAUGAGAUGAUGUGAGAAAUGUAUUUUCAAUGGCAGGCAGAUGGGUGACAACAUGAACUAUCACAGGAUGGUAGAGGGAGCUAAAAAGCACUUGGUAGUUCCAGAGGCUUCUAUGCUGAUAUGGUUAGAUGUUGACUUUUCAUAGGAUUGGAUCUGCUCUAUGGAUUGGAAACUUACAGGGAAAGUUAACCUACAAAAUCUGUGUGUAUGCUGGGGGAAGAAAUUAGGUUAAAGCCCCACUGAUAAACCCUUUUAGGAUGCUUCUAUCUACUUUGGAUUUUCUCUCAUUUCUUCCCUGCAUGGUGAUAAGUGAGACUUCACCAGCUAAUAUGACAAGAUGACAGUGUGAAAGUGCACUAGUUUGAAUCAAUACCCAUCUCUAACCAGCAAGCUGCUUUCAGAAUAGUACUUACAAUAAUGCUAAACUGAUAGGAGCCUGAAAACUACAAGAGAAUGGGAUGAAUAUUCAUUCACAUUUUUAAGGAACUUCUAUAUGUCUGUGCUCACACUUAGUCUGUGUCUUGUUUAUGCAAAUAUUUUUAUAAAGUGGUUUGUUGGCAACUGUAUUCAUGGAAAUUGAAAAAUACAGCAAAUAUUGCAGAUGAUGAUAGAUUUAUUUUUUUCAGAUCCACAGCAGGGCUUGCAAGGAAAGCCAGGAAUUACAUGCAUAGUCAGAGAACAAAAACAUAUUGUUUGAGUAUCCUGUAAACCAAAAUGCUUUUAUCUGAAGAUGCUCAGAUCUUACGGGAUACAUUUGGCUGAUAAAAAUUCUCCACAGAGGCUACAGUGACUACCUUACACUGCAGAGAUUGUGGUAUGUUGCUGGACAAUUUGAAAACAGAAAAUAGCCGAUGAAAUGAAAGGCAUUUUGCCCUUCCUUUCACUCUGCAGUGGUGAGCUUUCACCGGGAGGAGGGUAAUCAUUCUAGGCAUUUGAAGGCAAAAAAUUGAAGUUAGUAUUUAGUCCAUGAGGAACAAAGGUACUGCUACCACUGGGAAAACAGCUCCGGGGGACAUGAAGGGGUUGGGAAAGCUUGGAAAUCCUCAGCUGGGUUGAAUUUAUCUCACUUUCCCGUGACAGAUCUCCUGAACUCCUCAUGUGGUCUGCUCUUGCUUGGGUGGAACAUCUAAUGCUACAGUAAAUUGUCAUAUUGAAGUUGACAAUGUGUGUUGAUAAUAUUUCAUAUUAUACGGAUAUAAAAAUUACACAAAACCUCAUUGGGAAGCCUUGGACCUUUUGAAGACCACUAUAAUAGCAUGCAGAGAUCUAGGAACACCUGGGAAAGCUGCUGCUGUGGUUUUAAGAUAUCUAAGUGCCCUGAAGUGUUAUUUAUUUAGUGACAUAUGACAAAUUGUUCUAUAAGGGUUAGGUGAUUGCAACUUAAAAAUAAAUUAAAGUCUCUCUUUGGGUGUCCUGCUCAAUUUUGAUAUACAACACUCUAAACAGGAGUCUUGGCUGCCUGGGAUGUGCAGCAUUUAAAGGACCAAUUAAACUUGCAAAACUCUGGCAAAAUUUCCCAUCAGCAUUAUUGCUUCCACUUUGUUACCCUGCGUUUUGUGCUGUUCCUUGUGCUUUAUCUGUUGUAGAUCUGUUUCUCAUGCUAAUUAAGGUAGGUUUAUUUCUUGA
This is a long non-coding RNA of Neopsephotus bourkii (Bourke's parrot), 2143 nucleotides long. RefSeq lists it as uncharacterized. The transcript has 2 exons. NCBI's taxonomy places the organism in Eukaryota, Metazoa, Chordata, Aves, Psittaciformes, Psittacidae. The record is from RefSeq and is a predicted model, not a curated record.